Molecule: long non-coding RNA, 491 nt
Filed under: Nicotiana benthamiana
Lineage: Eukaryota; Viridiplantae; Streptophyta; Magnoliopsida; Solanales; Solanaceae
Description: long non-coding RNA (NBEN_LNC035767)
Source: RNAcentral
ACACCUUUUGGAAGGGUCAAACUUCUUGCACAUGGUUCCACAUGAUUUGAAGGAAUGGGUGCAAUCAUGUCAUAAUGUUUUAACUUCUCAAAUAAGCUUGCAUAGGAUUCUCCUAUUGGUGUAAAAUUUUCAACCUUUGUUCCCUUCUAUACCCUUGGCUUGGAUGUGGGUUAUAAGACACUUGAAAAUUUUGUGGAGGCUGGUAGAGAUUUUGCGGUGCUCGUGAUCGCCUUCUAGGGUGUCUUGGUGGCCAGACAUCAUACUGAGGUGCAGCAACAGAGUAUUGAGGGUUCUAAGGUGGAAAACCUGAGAAGGCUGAUCAUACCUUCGAGAUGUUCUCCUAGGACCUCUUCUCGGCCCUGAUGUCAUCAUUAUUCCUUCAACCUUUUCAUUCGGGUCACCAAAAUUACCAAAAUUAUCUGAUUCAAUCUGGUCAACCUGAGUUACAGCUUUGAGAACUGCUUGACCUAUAAUUUUGCCUGUCUUAAGAC